Caenorhabditis elegans is the source of this 62-nucleotide non-coding RNA. NCBI's taxonomy places the organism in Eukaryota, Metazoa, Nematoda, Chromadorea, Rhabditida, Rhabditidae. The record is from Ensembl.
UAUAUAUGUACGUAUAUAUUAUGGUACAUAUAUAUAUAUAUAUAUAUAUAUAUAUAUACAGU